UUGGAGGGCAAGUCUGGUGCCAGCAGCCGCGGUAAUUCCAGCUCCAAUAGCGUAUAUUAAAGUUGUUGCAGUUAAAAAGCUCGUAGUUGAACUUCGGGGUUUACCCAUUGGUCAGGCUUAAUUGUCUGUACUGGUGAGAUGAAUCUCUACCUUCUGAGGAACUUUCAUGCCAUUUAUUUGGUGUGAUGGGAAAUCAGGACUGUUACUUUGAAAAAAUUAGAGUGUUUAAAGCAGGCUAACGUCUGAAUACAUUAGCAUGGAAUAAUGAAAUAGGACGGACUGAUUCUAUUUCGUUGGUUUCUAGGAUCACCGUAAUGAUUAAUAGGGAUAGUUGGGGGCAUUAGUAUUCAAUUGUCAGAGGUGAAAUUCUUGGAUUUAUUGAAGACUAACUACUGCGAAAGCAUUUGCCAAGGAUGUUUUCAUUAAUCAAGAACGAAAGUUAGGGGAUCGAAGACGAUCAGAUACCGUCGUAGUCUUAACCAUAAACUAUGCCGACUAGGGAUCGGACGAUGUUAAUUUUUUAAUGACUCGUUCGGCGCCUUACGGGAAAC
Molecule: ribosomal RNA, 551 nt
Filed under: uncultured Diversispora
Lineage: Eukaryota; Fungi; Glomeromycota; Glomeromycetes; Diversisporales; Diversisporaceae
Description: SSU rRNA
Rfam family: Eukaryotic small subunit ribosomal RNA
Source: RNAcentral